RNAcentral lists this ribosomal RNA (501 nucleotides) under uncultured bacterium. Its description in RNAcentral is "partial 16S ribosomal RNA". It matches the Rfam family "Bacterial small subunit ribosomal RNA", at positions 28 to 523 of the family's 1533-position model. The record is from RNAcentral.
GAUGAACGCUAGCGGCAGGCCUAACACAUGCAAGUCGAGGGGUAGCAGGAUUAAGCUUGCUUAAUUGCUGACGACCGGCGCACGGGUGCGUAACGCGUAUGCAACCUACCUUAUACUGGGGUAUAGCCCGGAGAAAUUCGGAUUAAUCCCCCAUAGUACUAAUGAAUCGCAUGGUUUAUUAGUUAAAGCAUUGCGGUAUAAGAUGGGCAUGCGUCCUAUUAGCUAUGGUGAGGUAACGGCUCACCAUGGCUACGAUAGGUAGGGGGCCUGAGAGGGUGGUCCCACGAACUGGUACUGAGACACGGACCAGACUCCUACGGGAGGCAGCAGUGAGGAAUAUUGGGCAAUGGGCGCAAGCCUGAACCAGCCAUGCCGCGUGCAGGAAGAAUGCCCUAUGGGUUGUAAACUGCUUUUAUUUGGGAAUAAACCUCUUUACGUGUAGAGAGCUGAAGGUACCAAAUGAAUAAGCACCGGCUAACUCCGUGCCAGCCGCCGCCGUAA